This 404-nucleotide ribosomal RNA is filed under the name Paratrypaea maldivensis. RNAcentral's name for it is "partial small subunit ribosomal RNA". Lineage: Eukaryota; Metazoa; Arthropoda; Malacostraca; Decapoda; Callianassidae. The record is from RNAcentral.
AUUCUAGCCCUAAUUAUUUAUUUACUAAAGUAUUAAAAGUUAUGGUCUCUAAAUUUAAAGGAUUUGGCGGUGAUUUAAUCCCAUUAGAGGAACCUGUUAAGUAAACGAUAAACCACGCAAAAUCUUACCUGUUUUAUAGUUUGUAUACCGUCAUUAUUAGAUAACUUUUCAAGAAAAUAGUUAUUGAGAUAAAAACCUUUAGUAUAUUAGAUCAAGGUGCAGCCCAUGAACAGGAAAAUAAUGGGUUACAAUAAAAUUUACUUAAACGGAUAUAAAAUUUAAAUAUUUUAUUAAAGGAGGAUUUAAUAGUAAAAUUAGUUUAAUAAGCUGUUUUGACAAUGGACCUAAAUCGUGUACAUAUCGCCCGUCACUUGCAUUCCCAAAUGAAAUAAGUCGUAACAUAG